This 1447-nucleotide ribosomal RNA is filed under the name Oceanobacillus oncorhynchi. Its description in RNAcentral is "bacterial SSU rRNA". It matches the Rfam family "Bacterial small subunit ribosomal RNA". Lineage: Bacteria; Bacillati; Bacillota; Bacilli; Caryophanales; Bacillaceae. The record is from RNAcentral.
UGGCACGGGCGGCGUGCUAUACAUGCAGUCGAGCGCGGGAAGCGAACGGAACUCUUCGGAGGGAAGUUCGUGGAACGAGCGGCGGACGGGUGAGUAACACGUAGGCAACCUGCCUGUAAGACUGGGAUAACUCGCGGAAACGCGAGCUAAUACCGGAUAACACUUUCUAUCACCUGAUGGAAAGUUGAAAGGCGGCUUUUGCUGUCACUUACAGAUGGGCCUGCGGCGCAUUAGCUAGUUGGUGAGGUAACGGCUCACCAAGGCGACGAUGCGUAGCCGACUGGGGAUAUCGGCCCACUCGGACUGAGACACGGCCCAGAAUCCUACGGGAGCCAGCAGUAGGGAAUCUUCCGCAAUGGACAAAAAUCUGACGAGCAACGCCGCGGGAGUGAUGAAGGUUUUCGGAUCGUAAAACUCUGCUGUCAGGGAAGAACAAGUACGAUAGUAACUGAUCCUACCUUGACGGUACCUGACCAGAAAGCCACGGCUAAUACGUGCCAGCAGCCGCGGUAAUACGUAGAUGGCAAGCGUGUCCGGAAAUAUUGGGCGUAAAGCGCUCGCAGGCGGUUCUUUAAGUCUGAUGUGAAAUCUUGCGGCUCAACCGCAAACGUGCAUUGGAAACUGGAGGACUUGAGUGCAGAAGAGGAGAGUGGAAUUCCACGUGUAGCGGUGAAAUGCGUAGAGAUGUGGAGGAACACCAGUGGCGAAGGCGACUCUCUGGUCUGUAACUGACGCUGAGGAGAGAAAGCGUGGGGAGCGAACACGAUUAGAUACCCUGGUAGUCCACGCCGUAAACGAUGAGUGCUAGGUGUUAGGGGGUUUCCGCCCCUUAGUGCUGAAGUUAACGCAUUAAGCACUCCGCCUGGGGAGUACGGCCGCAAGGCUGAAACUCAAAAGAAUUGACGGGGACCCGCACAAGCGGUGGAGCAUGUGGUUUAAUUUGAAGCAACGCGAAGAACCUUACCAGGUCUUGACAUCCUUUGACCCCUCUAGAGAUAGAGUUUCCCUUCGGGACAAGUGACAGGUGGUGCAUGGUUGUCGUCAGCCCGUGUCGUGAAAUGUUGGAUAGUCCCGCAACGAGCGCAACCCUUUAUUAGUGGCCAGCAUUCAGUGGCACUCUAAGUGACUGCCGGUGACAACCGAGAAGUGGAAUGACGUCAAAUCACAUACCCCUUAUGCCUCGCGGACACACGUGCUACAAUGGACGGAACAAAGGGAAGCGAACCCGCGAGGUCCAGCAAAUCCCAUAAAACCGUUCUCAGUUCGGAUUGCAGGCUGCAACUCGCCUGCAUGAAGCCGGAAUCGCUAGUAAUCGCGGAUCAGCAUGCCGCGGUGAAUACGUUCCCGGGUCUUGUACACACCGCCCGUCACACCACGAGAGUUCGUAACACCCGAAGUCGGUGAGGUAACACAGACGUGAGCCAGCCGCCGAAGGUGACGAGAUGUG